This 312-nucleotide ribosomal RNA is filed under the name uncultured fungus. Its description in RNAcentral is "SSU rRNA". It matches the Rfam family "Eukaryotic small subunit ribosomal RNA", at positions 1344 to 1680 of the family's 1831-position model. The record is from RNAcentral. Lineage: Eukaryota; Fungi.
UAACCUGCUAAAUAGCCCGUACUGCUUUGGCAGUUCGCCGGCUUCUUAGAGGGACUAUCGGCUCAAGCCGAUGGAAGUUUGAGGCAAUAACAGGUCUGUGAUGCCCUUAGAUGUCCUGGGCCGCACGCGCGUUACACUGACAGGGCCAGCGAGUACCUCCUUGGCCGAAAGGCCCGGGUAAUCUUGUUAAACCCUGUCGUGCUGGGGAUAGAGCAUUGCAAUUAUUGCUCUUCAACGAGGAAUCCCUAGUAAGCGCAAGUCAUCAGCUUGCGUUGAUUACGUCCCUGCCCUUUGUACACACCGCCCGUCGCU